RNAcentral lists this ribosomal RNA (116 nucleotides) under Triticum urartu. The record is from RNAcentral. Lineage: Eukaryota; Viridiplantae; Streptophyta; Magnoliopsida; Poales; Poaceae.
UAAAGCACAACCAACACUAAAGCACCAGAUCUCAUCAGAACUUCGAAGUUAAGUGUGCUUGGGCGAGAGUAGUACUAGAAUGGGUGACCUUCUGGGAAGUCCUCGUGUUGCAUUUU